Molecule: ribosomal RNA, 490 nt
Filed under: uncultured bacterium
Lineage: Bacteria
Description: partial 16S ribosomal RNA
Rfam family: Bacterial small subunit ribosomal RNA
Source: RNAcentral
AUUGAACGCUGGCGGCAUGCCUUACACAUGCAAGUCGAACGGCAGCAUGAUCUAGCUUGCUAGAUUGAUGGCGAGUGGCGAACGGGUGAGUAAUACAUCGGAACGUGCCCUGUAGUGGGGGAUAACUAGUCGAAAGAUUAGCUAAUACCGCAUACGACCUGAGGGUGAAAGUGGGGGACCGCAAGGCCUCAUGCUAUAGGAGCGGCCGAUGUCUGAUUAGCUAGUUGGUGAGGUAAAGGCUCACCAAGGCGACGAUCAGUAGCUGGUCUGAGAGGACAAUCAGCCACACUGGGACUGAGACACGGCCCAGACUCCUACGGGAGGCAGCAGUGGGGAAUUUUGGACAAUGGGCGAAAGCCUGAUCCAGCAAUGCCGCGUGUGUGAAGAAGGCCUUCGGGUUGUAAAGCACUUUUGUCCGGAAAGAAAUGGCUCUGGUUAAUACCUGGGGUCGAUGACGGUACCGGAAGAAUAAGGACCGGCUAACUACGUG